GCCCCCUACGGGAGGCAGCAGUGAGGAAUAUUGGUCAAUGGCCGCAGGGCUGAACCAGCCAAGUCGCGUGAGGGAUGACGGUCCUAUGGAUUGUAAACCUCUUUUGUCAGGGAGCAAAGGGCGCCACGUGUGGCGUUUUGCGAGUACCUGAGGAAAAAGCAUCGGCUAACUCCGUGCCAGCAGCCGCGGUAAUACGGAGGAUGCGAGCGUUAUCCGGAUUUAUUGGGUUUAAAGGGUGCGCAGGCGGCCUGUUAAGUUAGCGGUAAAAGCCCGGGGCUCAACCCCGGCGAGCCGUUGAAACUGGC
Molecule: ribosomal RNA, 305 nt
Filed under: uncultured bacterium
Lineage: Bacteria
Description: bacterial SSU rRNA
Rfam family: Bacterial small subunit ribosomal RNA
Source: RNAcentral